AUUAGAGGAAGUAAAAGUCGUAACAAGGUCUCCGUUGGUGAACCAGCGGAGGGAUCAUUA
Molecule: ribosomal RNA, 60 nt
Filed under: Annulohypoxylon purpureopigmentum
Lineage: Eukaryota; Fungi; Ascomycota; Sordariomycetes; Xylariales; Hypoxylaceae
Also listed under: 1 other name
Description: partial 18S ribosomal RNA
Rfam family: Eukaryotic small subunit ribosomal RNA
Source: RNAcentral